UGCUCGUCUAGAUGCCAGAGGAGGCAGGUGUGAAUAGAGUGGGGGCGGGCAAGAUGCUAGACGGGGAAAAUGUUCAACAUAAAUAUGUUUACAAUUUUCUUACAAUGUGCUAUACUUCAAAGGAGAUGAGGCUUUCAGAGCAUCUGGGGUCUUCCCUUUGAGAGAGAGAACAGGCUUGGUUUUUGGAGCACUAUGGAUUAUACCCCUUCCACUUAAAUGGCCACUUUCCUUUCACUCAGAUUCAUCCCUCGUGAAGAUGGAGAAGACAAGUUCACGUCCUGGUUCUCAAGGCUUGUGAGUGGGCAUAGAUUUGCCAGAAAAAGCAAGUUACUCGUGAUGACUUUGUCUCUCCCUUUCUGGUCCUGGCGACGUUACCAUCUUUCAUCUCUCCGGUGUGCAGGCCCUGCUCUCCAGAAUAGAGCUGAGACCGUGGACACACAUGGGCCCCAGCGCGGGAGAUGCAGAGCCGCUGUGCUGGCUGAUGGGGGAGAUGCACAGUGUCUGAGGACUCGGAACCCAGCCCAGUGUGCAGAGGUUGACCCGACAAGUGCAGCCAAAAAAUCGGUGUGAAAUUUCUGUUUUAGAAGAUGCAGCCCCUCUGCUUUAAAGGAAUCUAGUUUCUUCUGUAGGAAGGAGAAGAGUGAGGCUUGUCCCCUGGGAGUUAAGCGUUCUUCGGUGUCCAGGGACGGAAGCGAGACGAAGUGGAGGCAGAGGGAGGACAGAGCCCUCCCAUGGCACCAAACCCCAAACCUGCACCCCUAUGGAGGUCCUCAUUCUGGCCCCUGGUGAGCAGCCAGCACAGCUCCUUAACGCCCCCCUCCCCGCCCCGUUCAUCUCUCCCACCAGAGGGAACACCACUGCCUCACAGGUCACUGUGAUACGGCUUGGGAUUCCACAGGUCUUCCCCUCCCGGGCUGUGUUGGGAACGAGUGGGCCCCAGACGGCAGCCCGUUAGCAGCAGAGACGCCGAGUUUCUCUGGCUCUGUGACCCGGGGUUUGUUCCUGUGUUAGGGGUACGAUGUGAAGGAUAGCUUGCACCAUCUAUUAGGUUUGCCCAGGGUUCAGAGCUGCUGUUGUGGGGCUGACUGGGGCCGCGCCGUAGCAGGAGGGAUGGCUCCCCCAACGUGGUCCCGGAGGAAGCUCUGGGUUCUUAUGGGGCAUGCUGUGUCCCGUUAGAUGAUAAAAUUCCAAAACAAAAGUUACAAGAAUGAGGGGUUGUUAUGUUUGAUCUUAACACAAUGCAAAUUGAGCCUAAUUUUUAUUUUUUUACUCAGGUAAAAUUCACAUUAUAUAAAGUCCAUCAUUUGUCGACUCGUCCUGGGGUACCACUGUACCACUGUCUCUCCGCCCCAAACAGAAACCCCAUCCCUGCCAGCAGUUGCUCUGUUUCCUCUCCUCCCAGCCCUGGAAACCAGCAGGCUGCUUCUGAUCUCUGCUCUGAGCACAUGCAUAUGUACACUUGUUCUCAUGGCUCCUGAAUUACACCCAGAAGAGGAAUGGUGGGGCAUGAGGUAAUUCUAUUUCAGUGUUUGGGAACCGCGGGACCUUCCUUGGCUACAGCAGCAUCCCA
This 1570-nucleotide long non-coding RNA is filed under the name Vulpes vulpes (red fox). Its description in RNAcentral is "lncRNA (ENSVVUG00000002692.1)". Lineage: Eukaryota; Metazoa; Chordata; Mammalia; Carnivora; Canidae. The record is from RNAcentral.